CCUACGGGUGGCUGCAGUGAGGAAUAUUGGUCAAUGGGCGCGAGCCUGAACCAGCCAAGUCGCGUGAAGGAUGACUGCCCUACGGGUUGUAAACUUCUUUUAUAAAGGAAUAAAGUGAGGCACGUGUGCCUUUUUGUCUGGACUUUAUGAAUAAGGAUCGGCUAACUCCGUGCCAGCAGCCGCGGUAAUACGGAGGAUCCGAGCGUUAUCCGGAUUUAUUGGGUGUAAAGGGAGCGUAGAUGGGUUGUUAAGUCAGUUGUGAAAGUUUGCGGCUCAACCGUAAAAUUGCAAUUGAUACUGGCAGGCUUGAGUACAGUUGAGGUAGGCGGAAUUCGUGGUGUAGCGGUGAAAUGCUUAGAUAUCACGAAGAACUCCGAUUGCGAAGGCAGCUUACUAAACUGCCACUGACAUUGAGGCUCGAAAGUGUGGGUAGCAAACAGGAUUAGAUACCCCAGUAGUC
RNAcentral lists this ribosomal RNA (460 nucleotides) under uncultured bacterium. Its description in RNAcentral is "partial 16S ribosomal RNA". It matches the Rfam family "Bacterial small subunit ribosomal RNA", at positions 338 to 795 of the family's 1533-position model. The record is from RNAcentral.